GUCUUUGUAGUAAUACAAGGCAGACGGCUCAGUAACACGUAGUCAACCUACCCUAUGGACGAGAAUAAUCUCGGGAAACUGAGCAUAAUUCUUGAUAGAUCAUAAUGCCUGGAAUGGUUUAUGGUUAAAAUGAUUCGUCGCCAUAGGAUGGGACUGCGGCCUAUCAGCUUGUUGGUGAGGUAAUGGCCCACCAAGGCGAUUACAGGUACGGGCUCUGAGAGGAGAAGCCCGGAGAUGGGUACUGAGACACGGACCCAGGCCCUAUGGGGCGCAGCAGGCGAGAAAACUUUGCAAUGUGCGAAAGCACGACAAGGUUAAUCCGAGUGAUUUCUGCUAAAGAAAUCUUUUGCCAGUCGUAAAACCGCUGGUGAAUAAGGGGUGGGCAAGUUCUGGUGUCAGCCGCCGCGGUAAAACCAGCACCUCAAGUGGUCAGGAUGAUUAUUGGGCCUA
This 450-nucleotide ribosomal RNA is filed under the name uncultured archaeon. RNAcentral's name for it is "bacterial SSU rRNA". It matches the Rfam family "Archaeal small subunit ribosomal RNA", at positions 57 to 512 of the family's 1478-position model. The record is from RNAcentral.